Molecule: long non-coding RNA, 1099 nt
Organism: Poecilia latipinna (sailfin molly)
Lineage: Eukaryota; Metazoa; Chordata; Actinopteri; Cyprinodontiformes; Poeciliidae
Exons: 2
Source: RefSeq, a predicted model, not a curated record
CUGCUGCAUCAUUCAUGCAGGUUUUGUGCAGAGGGCAAUGAAAGCCUGAACUCCAGAAUCAACUGCAGAGAUGAAAGAAGACACCAAAGGGACAGGUGGGCGUUCCCGAUGCAGCUGAUUGCUCUCAGGUGUGAGAGCCUGAGUCCAUAAGGAGCUGCGUGACGACCACUCGGUGUCUGAUGGCCGAUCUGAACUGGUGGAAUCAAACCAAACAUUCAGGCUCCAUGUUGUUUUCUCUGUUUCUUUAGAUCGGCUCUGGAAAAUGUCUUACCAGAGUUAAUACAGUUUAUCUAUACUGUGCCAAUUCACAACAAAUUAUGUGUCAAACCACAUGGAGCUGUUAUACAAGAAAAAUGAGAGAAAAUAUAAAGCUUGCAUAUAUAACAGUAAAUAAUGGAAGUUGUAGAAGAAGAAAGUAGCAGAUUGCAGAUAGCACUGAUUGCAGUUUUCUGGCCGAUUACCGAUCUUUAAGAAGCCUGACCUGCCGAUUCCGAUUUUAUACCAUUUUUUGGGGGGGCUGAAAUGUUGCUACAUAUGGCGAGAAAGUUGCUGAAUUGGCAACAGUGGAGCAACUAAAGUACAGACAUGAGCUGGUGGGUCAGUCUGUCAAACAGUGGAUGAUUUUUCCACCUGAUCAGAUCGGCUUCAUAUUCAAGUAUCGGCCGAUCACCGAUCUCCCAAACUGAAGAAAAUUAACCAUCUAUCCAAAACACAUCCUUACUUUCUGAAGCCUUCUGCUUCCUCCACAUCUCCAGUGUCCAUUAAACCAACACCAAAGUCUCCAUAUUUCCCAGUAAGAAGCUCAGCCUCUGGUCGUUGCCUGCAGCUCCGUCUACCUGUGAAUUCCUCUCCCACACAUCACCUGACAACAAGCAGGUGAUGCAUCUCCUCUGGAUCAACAACUUCACUUACCUCUGAACCAACAGGAUCUUCCACCUCUGCGCUGUUACCUCUCAUAAGCCGGCUCUGAUCUCAUCCUCAGAACAUUUCCUCCAUUAUUCCUGCCGCUUCGCUAACAUCUCUUCCUCUCAUCCUUUCAGACGAACUGACCUUGCCAAAACAGAUUCCUGUUAUUUAUUUAAUAAAUGUCCAAACCUUA